GUGUGCAUGAUCCUGCCUGGUGGUGGGUGCAGGCUUCAAACCUGUGGACGGUUAGCGCCGUAGUUGUUCGAUUCAACCUUGCGCAC
This 86-nucleotide transfer RNA is filed under the name Nitzschia inconspicua. RNAcentral describes it as "Selenocysteine transfer RNA". It matches the Rfam family "Selenocysteine transfer RNA". The record is from Rfam by way of RNAcentral. Lineage: Eukaryota; Bacillariophyta; Bacillariophyceae; Bacillariales; Bacillariaceae.